UAUAUUUAAGUAUAUGAUGUACAAAAGUUUUUGAUACUUUAAGAAAUAGUUUAAAUCUAUUAGAUAUAU
This 69-nucleotide transfer RNA is filed under the name Staphylinoidea sp. 4 KM-2017. RNAcentral's name for it is "tRNA-Gln". The record is from RNAcentral. Lineage: Eukaryota; Metazoa; Arthropoda; Insecta; Coleoptera.